UGGGGGAUAUUGCACAUUGGGCGAAACCUGAUGCAGCGACGCCGCGUGGGGGAUGAAGGCCUUCGGGUUGUAAACUUCUUUUGCUCUGAACAAGGCGCACCAUGGGGUGUGUUGAGUGUAGGGGUUGAUUAGCGCCGGCUAACUACGUGCCAGCAGCCGCGGUAAUACGUAGGGCGCGAGCGUUGUCCGGAAUUAUUGGGCGUAAAGGGCUUGUAGGUGGCUGGUUGCGUCUGUCGUGAAAGCUCAUGGCUUAACUGUGGGUUUGCGGUGGGUACGGGCUGGCUUGAGUGCAGUAGGGGAGGCUGGAAUUCCUGGUGUAGCGGUGGAAUGCGCAGAUAUCAGGAGGAAUACCGGUGGCGAAGGCGGGUCUCUGGGCUGUUACUGACACUGAGGAGCGAAAGCAUGGGGAGCGAACAGG
RNAcentral lists this ribosomal RNA (418 nucleotides) under bacterium. Its description in RNAcentral is "partial 16S ribosomal RNA". It matches the Rfam family "Bacterial small subunit ribosomal RNA", at positions 355 to 776 of the family's 1533-position model. The record is from RNAcentral.